This 253-nucleotide ribosomal RNA is filed under the name uncultured bacterium. RNAcentral's name for it is "partial 16S ribosomal RNA". It matches the Rfam family "Bacterial small subunit ribosomal RNA", at positions 524 to 776 of the family's 1533-position model. The record is from RNAcentral.
UACGUAGGGCGCAAGCGUUGUCCGGAAUUAUUGGGCGUAAAGAGCUCGUAGGUGGCUUGUUGCGUCUGCCGUGAAAGCCCGUGGCUUAACUACGGGUCUGCGGUGGAUACGGGCAGGCUAGAGGCUGGUAGGGGCAAGCGGAAUUCCUGGUGUAGCGGUGAAAUGCGCAGAUAUCAGGAGGAACACCGAUGGCGAAGGCAGCUCGCUGGGACGGUACUGACGCUGAGGCGCGAAAGCGUGGGGAGCAAACAGG